CAGGCUUAACACAUGCAAGUCGAGGGGCAGCAUCAUUAAAGCUUGCUUUGAUGGAUGGCGACCGGCGCACGGGUGAGUAACACGUAUCCAACCUGCCGACAACACUGGGAUAGCCUUUCGAAAGAAAGAUUAAUACCGGAUGGCAUAGUCUUCCCGCAUGGGAUGACUAUUAAAGAAUUUCGGUUGUCGAUGGGGAUGCGUUCCAUUAGGCAGUUGGCGGGGUAACGGCCCACCAAACCAACGAUGGAUAGGGGUUCUGAGAGGAAGGUCCCCCACAUUGGAACUGAGACACGGUCCAAACUCCUACGGGAGGCAGCAGUGAGGAAUAUUGGUCAAUGGGCGAGAGCCUGAACCAGCCAAGUAGCGUGAAGGAUGAAGGCUCUAUGGGUCGUAAACUUCUUUUAUAUGGGAAUAAAGUUUUCCACGUGUGGAAUUUUGUAUGUACCAUAUGAAUAAGGAUCGGCUAACUCCGUGCCAGCAGCCGCGGUAAUACGGAGGAUCCGAGCGUUAUCCGGAUUUAUUGGGUUUAAAGGGAGCGUAGGUGGAUUGUUAAGUCAGUUGUGAAAGUUUGCGGCUCAACCGUAAAAUUGCAGUUGAAACUGGCAGUCUUGAGUACAGUAGAGGUGGGCGGAAUUCGUGGUGUAGCGGUGAAAUGCUUAGAUAUCACGAAGAACUCCGAUUGCGAAGGCAGCUCACUAGACUGUCACUGACACUGAUGCUCGAAAGUGUGGGUAUCAAACAGGAUUAGAUACCCUGGUAGUCCACACAGUAAACGAUGAAUACUCGCUGUUUGCGAUAUACAGUAAGCGGCCAAGCGAAAGCAUUAAGUAUUCCACCUGGGGAGUACGCCGGCAACGGUGAAACUCAAAGGAAUUGACGGGGGCCCGCACAAGCGGAGGAACAUGUGGUUUAAUUCGAUGAUACGCGAGGAACCUUACCCGGGCUUAAAUUGCAACAGAAUAUAUUGGAAACAGUAUAGCCGUAAGGCUGUUGUGAAGGUGCUGCAUGGUUGUCGUCAGCUCGUGCCGUGAGGUGUUGGCUUAAGUGCCAUAACGAGCGCAACCCUUAUCUUUAGUUACUAACAGGUCAUGCUGAGGACUCUAGAGAGACUGCCGUCGUAAGAUGUGAGGAAGGUGGGGAUGACGUCAAAUCAGCACGGCCCUUACGUCCGGGGCUACACACGUGUUACAAUGGGGGGUACAGAAGGCGGCUACCUGGUGACAGGAUGCUAAUCCCAAAAACCUCUCUCAGUUCGGAUCGAAGUCUGCAACCCGACUUCGUGAAGCUGGAUUCGCUAGUAAUCGCGCAUCAGCCAUGGCGCGGUGAAUACGUUCCCGGGCCUUGUACACACCGCCCGUCAAGCCAUGAAAGCCGGGGGUACCUGAAGUACGUAACCGCAAGGAGCGUCCUAGGGUAAAACUGGUAAUUGGGGCUAAGUCAUAAC
RNAcentral lists this ribosomal RNA (1444 nucleotides) under uncultured organism. RNAcentral's name for it is "16S ribosomal RNA". It matches the Rfam family "Bacterial small subunit ribosomal RNA". The record is from RNAcentral.